This 725-nucleotide ribosomal RNA is filed under the name uncultured bacterium. RNAcentral's name for it is "bacterial SSU rRNA". It matches the Rfam family "Bacterial small subunit ribosomal RNA", at positions 61 to 801 of the family's 1533-position model. The record is from RNAcentral.
GUCGAGCGAGUUGAUUCUCUUCGGAGAUGAAGCUAGCGGCGGACGGUUGAGUAACACGUGGGCAACCUGCCUCAUAGAGGGGAAUAGCCUCCCGAAAGGGAGAUUAAUACCGCAUAAGAUUGUAGCUUUGCAUGAAGUAGCAAUUAAAGGAGUAAUCCGCUAUGAGAUGGGCCCGCGGCGCAUUAGCUAGUUGGUGAGGUAACGGCUCACCAAGGCGACGAUGCGUAGCCGACCUGAGAGGGUGAUCGGCCACAUUGGGACUGAGACACGGCCCAGACUCCUACGGGAGGCAGCAGUGGGGAAUAUUGCACAAUGGGGGAAACCCUGAUGCAGCAACGCCGCGUGAGUGAUGACGGCCUUCGGGUUGUAAAGCUCUGUCUUCAGGGACGAUAAUGACGGUACCUGAGGAGGAAGCCACGGCUAACUACGUGCCAGCAGCCGCGGUAAUACGUAGGUGGCGAGCGUUGUCCGGAUUUACUGGGCGUAAAGGGAGCGUAGGCGGACUUUUAAGUGAGAUGUGAAAUACCCGGGCUCAACUUGGGUGCUGCAUUUCAAACUGGAAGUCUAGAGUGCAGGAGAGGAGAAUGGAAUUCCUAGUGUAGCGGUGAAAUGCGUAGAGAUUAGGAAGAACACCAGUGGCGAAGGCGAUUCUCUGGACCGUAACUGACGCUGAGGCUCGAAAGCGUGGGGAGCACACAGGAUUAGAUACCCUGGUAGUCCACGCC